UCAGUCUCAAAGCCUACCAUACAUACUUCACUUUCCCACGCGCGCUCUCUCUCUCUCUCUCUCUCUCUCUAGUCGGCCACAAACCCUUCCUCUUCCCUUCCUCUCCAAAUCCCAAACCCCCAAAAUCCAAAAAACCCCUCCAAAAUAAACAAAGAUCGAAUCUUUCACUCACGUAGGCAGUGAGAGGGAGAGGAAGUGAAAACCCACAUGGAUUCGGAUCAAGGCAAGCUUUUUAUUGGUGGGAUUUCAUGGGAAACCUCGGAGGAUAAGCUGAAGGAGUACUUCAGCAACUACGGCGACGUUUUGCAAACAGUGGUUAUGAGGGACAAAGUCACGGGACGCCCUAGAGGUUUUGGGUUUGUAGUUUUUGUAGAUCCUGCUGUUCUUGAUAGGGUUCUUCAGGAUAAGCACACCAUCGAUGGUAGAACGGUUGAGGCUAAGAGGGCCCUAUCGAGAGAGGAGCAGCAAACCACUGGCAGAGUUGGAAAUGCUAACCCUACUAGAAGUGCCGGAAAUGGUGGAAAUAUUAGGACCAAGAAGAUAUUUGUUGGAGGGUUGCCUCCCACUCUUAGCGAAGAAGGAUUCCGUGAGUAUUUUGAAACUUAUGGCAAUGUAACUGAUGUAGUAGUAAUGUAUGACCAAAGUACCGGACGUCCUCGUGGAUUUGGAUUUAUUUCAUUUGAUACUGAAGAAGCAGUUGACAGGGUUUUGCACAAAACAUUUCAUGAUUUAAAUGGUAAGCAAGUGGAAGUUAAGAGGGCUCUUCCCAAAGAUGCCAAUCCCGGUGGGGGUGGCCGUAGCAUGGGGGGUGGUCAAGGUGGCGGUGGUGCAGCUGGUGGUGGUUAUCAAGGAUAUGGCGCAUCUGGUGGCAACCCAAAUGCAUAUGAUGGUAGAAUGGACUCCAACAGGUACAUGCAAUCUCAGAGUACUGGAGGUGGAUUUCCACCUUAUGGUUCUUCUGGGUAUAGUGCACCCAGUUAUGGGUAUGGUCCUACCAGUAAUGGAAUUGGUUAUGGCGGUUAUGGAAGUUACGGUGGCACUAAUACUGGCUAUGGAGGUCCAGCAGCUGCUGCCUACGGAAACCCUAAUGCCCCAAAUGCUGGCUAUGCUAGUGGUCCACCAGGUGCCCCUAGAAGUUCAUGGAGUUCUCAAGCCCCCUCUGGAUAUGGUGCUAUGGGAUACGGGAAUACUGCUCCUUGGGGUGUUUCAGGUGGCAGUGCAGGUGCAGGCAGUGGCGGCCCUGGUUCUGCACCUGCUGGUCAAUCACCUAGUGCAGCGGCUGGGUAUGGAGCUCAAGGUUAUGGUUAUGGUGGGUACAGUGGAAGUGAUGCGUCCUAUGCAAAUCCGUCUGGUUAUGGUGCUGUUGGAGGGCGUUCAGGGAGUGUCCCAAAUAACAAUGUUGGUGGCGCAGGUGGGGAGCAAGGUAGUGGUGGUGGCUAUGUUGGGAGUGGCUAUGGCGAUUCAAAUGGAAAUACAGGUUAUGGAAAUGCUGGUUGGAGAUCUGAUCCAUCCCAGGCUUCAGGAAACUAUGGUGGUCAGGCAAAUGGUGGACAAGUUGGUUAUGGUGGUGGGUAUGGCAGUGCUCAGGCACGACAAUCCCAACAGCAGUAAUUUUGAUGGUCAACUGUUUCAAUGGAAAUUUCAUCCUGUUUUAUGGAUCUGUAACUCUUUAUGCAUGAGCUCGUAAUGGUUUCUCAUCACCAGCGGCAGUAGCAGGAACAGCUCAAGUUGGAUGGCAAUGCUUUGGGACUGGAGGAGAGGUGCACAAGUUGUAAAGUGAAGUGUCCAUCAUGGCUGAAACGAGCUUCAUGGUGGGGCAUGUUCAUUGGGGGUGUGUUCAGCAUGGAAUGAAAUAUUUGGAAGUUUGUUCACUUGAAAUUAAUGAGGCAUUCUCCAGCCAGGCCAUGCCAUUGCCAACACUGUCAAAUUUCGCAGAGUCCUCAAGCUCAUAAUAUCGUAAACUUCACCCUGGUUUUGGUUGCAUGACAGAUUGUGAGGUGAACAGCGUACGGUAUGUUGACUUGAGCAGCUUAGCCAGAUUCGCUUUAAAAUUUGAUUGUGUAAGGCCGUGUUUUGAUUCAUAGGAGCAGAUGGUUCCGGAAUUUAGAGAAGCAGAAAGGAGGUGCUUCUGUUAAAAUAGUUUUUCUAGAACUUUAGAAUGAAGUAGAAGACCCAUUGCAUUUUUAUUCAUUUAUUUUUCCAAAUUUGAGAACACAGGCUAGAUUUAUGAUGCAUUAUUUCAAUAAGAAUAUUGACUGUUGUAAUAGUGCA
Molecule: RNA transcript, 2271 nt
Organism: Prunus avium (sweet cherry)
Lineage: Eukaryota; Viridiplantae; Streptophyta; Magnoliopsida; Rosales; Rosaceae
Gene name: RNA-binding (RRM/RBD/RNP motifs) family protein
Source: RefSeq, a predicted model, not a curated record